ACUUGAUCUUUCCAUUUCAGAUAAAUCGUCUACUCUUGGAAGAUGACACUGCUUUGGAUAACCAUAGUUCAAAGUACCGAUCAAUAAUAAAAGAGUUUUGUGCUUUUCUAUGUGAAUGCAAGGAUAUGUUGGAUGAGGCAACUAAAAUGAAACUUUUAGAGAGGUAACUAUCUACAGGAUCCUAUUUAUGGCCGGGUUGAAGAGUUGGUGUUUUUUGCCAGUUUAAAGGAGUAGUAUGAAAUCUUAAUUCAUCAUUUCAUACAGGAGAAAAGGACUACUAUGAAAGACAACUUUUAACUCUGAAAUCUUUUGAGGAAGUUGACUCUAUAGUGCAAUCAGAAGGCAUUGAUGAAGAUGAUCUUUAUGAACAAGCUCAACAUGAAAGAGCCAUGAAGAUCUCUAAUUAUUCAAACAUAAUUCUCUUGGGA
This is a long non-coding RNA of Humulus lupulus (European hop), 428 nucleotides long. RefSeq lists it as uncharacterized. NCBI's taxonomy places the organism in Eukaryota, Viridiplantae, Streptophyta, Magnoliopsida, Rosales, Cannabaceae. The transcript is spliced from 3 exons. The record is from RefSeq and is a predicted model, not a curated record.